This 525-nucleotide ribosomal RNA is filed under the name uncultured bacterium. RNAcentral's name for it is "bacterial SSU rRNA". It matches the Rfam family "Bacterial small subunit ribosomal RNA", at positions 355 to 896 of the family's 1533-position model. The record is from RNAcentral.
UGGGGAAUUUUGCGCAAUGGGGGAAACCCUGACGCAGCAGCGCCGCGUGGAGGAUGAAGUCCUUCGGGACGUAAACUCCUUUCGAUCGGGACGAUUAUGACGGUACCGGAAGAAGAAGCCCCGGCUAACUUCGUGCCAGCAGCCGCGGUAAUACGAGGGGGGCGAGCGUUGUUCGGAAUUAUUGGGCGUAAAGGGUGCGUAGGCGGUUUUGUAAGUCUUAUGUGAAAUCUAUGGGCUCAACUCAUAGACUGCAUGAGAAACUGCAGGGCUUGAGUAUGGGAGAGGUGAGUGGAAUUCCUGGUGUAGCGGUGAAAUGCGUAGAUAUCAGGAGGAACACCUGUGGCGAAAGCGGCUCACUGGACCAUAACUGACGCUGAUGCACGAAAGCUAGGGGAGCAAACAGGAUUAGAUACCCUGGUAGUCCUAGCCCUAAACGAUGACUGCUUGGUGUGACGGGUACCCAAUCCCGCCGUGCCGUAGCUAACGCGUUAAGCAGUCCGCCUGGGGAGUACGGUCGCAAGGCUG